ACGGGGUGCAGCAGGCGCGAAACCUUUGCAAUGUGCGCAAGCACGACAAGGUUAAUCGGAGUGUUUCCUGCUAAAGGAAUCUUUUGUUAGUCGUAAAACCACUGAUGAAUAAGGGGUGGGCAAGUUCUGGUGUCAGCCGCCGCGGUAAAACCAGCACCUCAAGUGGUCAGGAGGAUUAUUGGGCCUAAAGCAUCCGUAGCCGGCUCUGCAAGUUUUCGGUUAAAUCCAUUUGCUUAACAAAUGGGCUGCCGAAAAUACUACAUAGCUAGGGAGUGGGAGAGGUAGACGGUAUUCGGUAGGAAGGGGUAAAAUCCUUUGAUCUAUUGAGGACCACCUAUGGCGAAGGCAGUCUACCAGAACACGUUCGACGGUGAGGGAUGAAAGCUGGGGGAGCAAACCGGAUUAGAUACCCGGGUAGUCCCAGCUGUAAACGAUGCAGACUCGGUGAUGCACUGGCUUGUGGCCAGUGCAGUGCCGCAGGGAAGCCGUUAAGUUUGCCGCCUGGGAAGUACGUACGCAAGUAUGAAACUUAAAGGAAUUGGCGGGGGAGCAC
RNAcentral lists this ribosomal RNA (553 nucleotides) under uncultured Nitrososphaerota archaeon. RNAcentral's name for it is "bacterial SSU rRNA". It matches the Rfam family "Archaeal small subunit ribosomal RNA", at positions 325 to 879 of the family's 1478-position model. Lineage: Archaea; Thermoproteati; Nitrososphaerota. The record is from RNAcentral.